ACUCCUACGGGAGGCAGCAGUGGGGAAUAUUGCACAAUGGGCGCAAGCCUGAUGCAGCCAUGCCGCGUGUGUGAAGAAGGCCUUCGGUUGUAAAGCACUUUCAGUCGUGAGGAAGGUGGUAGUGUUAAUAGCACUAUCAUUUGACGUUAGCGACAGAAGAAGCACCGGCUAACUCCGUGCCAGCAGCCGCGGUAAUACGGAGGGUGCGAGCGUUAAUCGGAAUUACUGGGCGUAAAGCGCAUGCAGGUGGUUUGUUAAGUCAGAUGUGAAAGCCCGGGGCGUCAACCUCGGAAUAGCAUUUGAAACUGGCAGACUAGAGUACUGUAGAGGGGGUAGAAUUUCAGGUGUAGCGGUGAAAUGCGUAGAGAUCUGAAGGAAUACCGGUGGCGAAGGCGGCCCCCUGGACAGAUACUGACACUCAGAUGCGAAAGCGUGGGGAGCAAACAGGAUUAGAUACCCUGGUAGGAUAGCG
RNAcentral lists this ribosomal RNA (472 nucleotides) under uncultured bacterium. RNAcentral's name for it is "bacterial SSU rRNA". It matches the Rfam family "Bacterial small subunit ribosomal RNA", at positions 335 to 799 of the family's 1533-position model. The record is from RNAcentral.